UACCAAUUAGUUUUCGUCUCUCGUAUAAGCUCCGUAAUAUGGAUGGAGCGUUUCGACCAGGCAACCUUAAAAUUGUCCUAGGCUAUGAGAGGUGAUGAGUUUUUU
Molecule: non-coding RNA, 105 nt
Filed under: Desulfobacter sp.
Lineage: Bacteria; Pseudomonadati; Thermodesulfobacteriota; Desulfobacteria; Desulfobacterales; Desulfobacteraceae
Description: Desulfitibacter sp. Guanine sequence
Rfam family: Purine riboswitch aptamer
About the family: Riboswitches are metabolite binding domains within certain messenger RNAs that serve as precision sensors for their corresponding targets.
Source: RNAcentral